UAACACGUAAGUUGCGAGCGUUGUUCGGAAUUAUUGGGCGUAAAGGGCAUGUAGGCUGUUUUGAAAGCUUGGUGUGAAAUCCCGCAGCUUAACUGCGGAACUGCAUUGAGAACUACAAGACUAGAGUUACUGAAGGGAAACUAGAAUUCCAAGUGUAGGGGUGAAAUCUGUAGAUAUUUGGAAGAAUACCAAUGGCGAAGGCAAGUUUCUGGCAGAUAACUGACGCUGAGGUGCGAAGGUGCGGGGAGCAAACAGGAUUAGAUACCCUGGUAGUCCGCACAGUAAACGAUGUACACUAGGUGUUUGACCAUGAGGUUGGGUGCCAAAGCUAACGUGAUAAGUGUACCGCCUGGGAAGUAUGCCCGCAAGGGUGAAACUCAAAGGAAUUGACGGGGCCCGCACAAGCGGUGGAGCAUGUGGUUUAAUUCGAUGGUACGCGAGGAACCUUACCUGGGUUUGACAUAUACCUGGAAUACUGCAGAGAUGCAGCAGCGUAGCAAU
RNAcentral lists this ribosomal RNA (501 nucleotides) under uncultured Treponema sp. RNAcentral describes it as "bacterial SSU rRNA". It matches the Rfam family "Bacterial small subunit ribosomal RNA", at positions 521 to 1023 of the family's 1533-position model. The record is from RNAcentral. Lineage: Bacteria; Pseudomonadati; Spirochaetota; Spirochaetia; Treponematales; Treponemataceae.